CAAGGAGAGAGGAAGUGACUUGUCAGGAUCACAGAAAAUAUCUGUGGGAGAGUAGGAGCUGAACCUGCAUCUCCCAGAGCCUAGGAACCAGCAACCAGGGAAACUGGCUCCAUUGAACUGAUCGAGCCAAGAGUACUGACGAACCACAGUAGUGUGGGCAAUGUGCCAGCACAGAGAGACAAGGCUGGUGACACAGUCCUCAACCUGACAGUGACCAAAUGUCUGGCCUCCAACUGAGCCCAGCCCAGCACCAAUCCGAUUGGCUCACUCAGUGGAAGGCUCCCCUGUGCCCUUACCUGCCAGAACUCCUUUCUGUUCUGGGCAGGGACUGUGGCCCUGCUCUGGAUUCAAGCUACAUGGACCCUGGAUGAAGGACUCCAGCUGUGGGCUCAGUUAUGGCUUUAGCCACUGGGGUCAAUUCAGAGCUGCACUGGCCAUGGAGAAACACCUGGAGUUACUUUACUGAAGCCACAGGGGUUAGGGCAGGGGUGGAUGAGGCCCCCAAUUUUCAGCCGUUCUGCGUGAGCUCCUGCUGUACUUUGCGGGAGCAGAAUCACGCUUUCGGGAAGCUCCUCAUUCAAUGAUUUCUUGUUUCAAUACCUCA
Molecule: long non-coding RNA, 604 nt
Organism: Mauremys reevesii (Reeves's turtle)
Lineage: Eukaryota; Metazoa; Chordata; Testudines; Geoemydidae
Exons: 2
Source: RefSeq, a predicted model, not a curated record